CACCACCACGCUGACUGGAUGAUGGCUUUUUAAGGACAAGAGUCUCCUUUCAACCUGUUGGCUUGUUUUCAGUAAACCUUUUUCUUCCCCCCUCAUUCUGUCCCCCCAGUGUUUGGCGGCAGCAGAACUCGACCUUUCACAGUUGCAUUUUCGCAGAAAAGAAAGCGAAAAAAGUCCAGGAAGAAGGGAAAGACGUCCAGUGAGGGGAACGCGGAGCCCAGGAGGACUGCGCCCCGUUCCUUCCCGCCGCUGGUCAGGGGUCUUAGGGCUCCGCUCCUCUCAAGAACCUGAGCACCAAGCUGCAGUUGUACCGGCAGAGCCUGAACUAAUAGAAAGUAAUUGAACACAAAAUCUGAGCAAGAAGAGUCAGAUGAAUUGAAUAUGUGACAUUUCAAGGCAUCAGGCUGUGACCGCCAUCUUACCAAAGGAACAGCCUUAGUACAGACAUUGGAGAACAUGAUGCCUCUGGACAGGACAGAAUGGAUACUACCUACCUUCACCCCACUGCCUUUCCUCAGUCUUGGCCUUCAGGGAUGACCAGGGCCCCCUUCAGAUUGACCUAUUCUUCCUUCAGCUAAUGACAAGUAUAAUUAAGAAGUGUUUGAUGACUCCUGAACAGCUAGCUAUCUUUCAUGUCAAUCACAUUUCCCAUGAUCAGCACAGGAAGUGUGAAAAAGAAAAGCUAUUUUUGCUGAACUUAACUCUUUCAGAAGCAUUCAAAUUUGGUAGCAGUGAGUUCACUUUCUGAUACAUUCAGGUAAUGAAGCUAACAGGUACUGUUACAUAUCUCUUCCGGUCAUUCUGGCCAUUGAACUCAAGUACAAGAUGUCUUUGUAGAUCUAUAAAUAAUAGUAUUUUCUAUUUCCCUGCCUGUAAGUGUUG
RNAcentral lists this long non-coding RNA (882 nucleotides) under Heterocephalus glaber (naked mole-rat). RNAcentral describes it as "lncRNA (ENSHGLG00100040431.1)". Lineage: Eukaryota; Metazoa; Chordata; Mammalia; Rodentia; Bathyergidae. The record is from RNAcentral.